AUGCGCCACCUCAAGCAUGCAGCUGGAGCUUGGGUGACUGAGUUGCCAUCUGUUCUAUGGGGAUUAAGGACGACUCCUAAUCGGUCGACUGAUCGAACUCCUUUUUUCAUGGUGUACGGGGACGAAGCUGUGCUUCCGAGCGAUCUACUGCACAAUGCUCCUCGGGUGGAACUCUUCUCUGAAGCCGAGGCAGAACAAGCACGACAGGACGCCGUCGAUCUCCUGGAGGAAGAACGAGAGAUGGCUCUGAUCUGGUCGACCAUCUAUCAGCAAGACUUGCGUCGAUUCCACGCCCGAAAUUUCAGAGGCCGAGCAUUUCAGGAAGGGGAUCUUGUGCUUCGUGUGCACCAGAAACGGCCCCAUAAACUUGCUCCAGCUUGGGAAAGUCCCUUCAUCAUCACCAAAGUGCUCCACAACAGAGCGUACCACCUUUACAAUGUGGCCAAGAAAGAAGACGAGCUGCGCUCUUGGAACGCAGAUCUGCUCCGCCGUUUUUAUACCUGA
Molecule: ribosomal RNA, 504 nt
Filed under: Triticum aestivum (bread wheat)
Lineage: Eukaryota; Viridiplantae; Streptophyta; Magnoliopsida; Poales; Poaceae
Description: partial small subunit ribosomal RNA
Source: RNAcentral